This 404-nucleotide ribosomal RNA is filed under the name uncultured prokaryote. RNAcentral's name for it is "bacterial SSU rRNA". It matches the Rfam family "Bacterial small subunit ribosomal RNA", at positions 355 to 776 of the family's 1533-position model. The record is from RNAcentral. RNAcentral also lists the same sequence under 1 other name.
UGGGGGAUAUUGCACAAUGGAGGAAACUCUGAUGCAGCAACGCCGCGUGAAGGAUGAAGGUCUUCGGAUUGUAAACUUUUGUACUUGGGGACGAUAAUGACGGUACCCAAGCAGCAAGCUCCGGCUAACUACGUGCCAGCAGCCGCGGUAAUACGUAGGGAGCAAGCGUUGUCCGGAUUUACUGGGUGUAAAGGGUGCGUAGGCGGCUAUGCAAGUCAGUUGUGAAAACUAUGGGCUCAACCCAUAGCCUGCAAUUGAAACUGCGUGGCUUGAGUGAAGUAGAGGUAGGUGGAAUUCCCGGUGUAGCGGUGAAAUGCGUAGAGAUCGGGAGGAACACCAGUGGCGAAGGCGACCUACUGGGCUUUAACUGACGCUGAGGCACGAAAGCAUGGGUAGCAAACAGG